Molecule: long non-coding RNA, 471 nt
Organism: Salvia miltiorrhiza (redroot sage)
Lineage: Eukaryota; Viridiplantae; Streptophyta; Magnoliopsida; Lamiales; Lamiaceae
Exons: 3
Source: RefSeq, a predicted model, not a curated record
CUCUCUCUCUCUCUCUCUCUCUCUCUCUCAUCUCUCUCUUUCUCCUCCAUUGAUCACCAUUGGAGAAACCUUCAAGCUUCCUAAAUCACUUCUAUGUUAGUAUCCUCCAUUUAAUCAAGCCCUAAAACACCUUAUACACUUGAAUCAAGAGAUCUUGGAAGAAUUAGAGCUUGGAGUCUAGAGUGAAGAAAUUCUACUUCUCUCAAAAUUCUUGAACACGAACAAAGGAAAGAAGUAAGUUGUCACCACUUUGACGAGAGCUUGAGCUAAAGCCUUCAGGAUAAGCGAGGAGCGAGAUUGGUCUUGUGCUGGUGGGGGAACUAUUUCAGUCGAUGUGUUUGCAUUACCAUAUUUUCUUUUUGUUCAUAGAGUCUAGAUGUGGAGUCACUUUGUGUUUGAGUCAAGCAAUUUACUCUCGGUUAUGUGUCUUCAUACAUAUAAUCGGUUCACCUUUUGCUGCGAUACUCUGCA